CCCAGCAUUUGCUCCUCUGAGCUGUAUCCCUCUGCUGCCUAGAGCAUGUGCCUGCAAUUCCCACACGGGAAGUUGUGAUAACACAACUUCUAAGCAACCCUCAGCAGCAGCACCCACCUCUUCCCAGCUGCAGCUGAUUAGGGAAUUGCUUAUUGAGCUUUCAAUAUCAGCAGGCAGCUACCACAGCCUCCCUGUGGUGGUCUCCUCUGCACCAGGGCCAGCCAGCACUCCUCAUGCCUCAGCAUAAAAUCAAACUAGUCCACAUGCAGGAAAGUUUCACAACUCCUGCCUGCUCUUGUGUCCUUAGAGACAGUUAAUACUUAUGAAGAUGGGACACUUUAAGAUGUGCCAGGAACUUAGUACUCUCUUCAAGAAGUCGACCAGCUAAUUUAUAAAGCAUGUUGUAAAAGCCCAGUGAAAAGCACAAAUAAUGGAGAGCUGUCGGCACUUGAAGAAACCUGCACCUCAUAGGAACACAGAAGCAGAUGUUGUGUUGUCUGGGGAGGAGCAACUAUCUUGCACUCUGCCUGUGUGUCCUGGGCAUACGCAGGAAAGAGGUAUGUGAUCUUGAGAAGUAUAACAAAAGAGCUGCCUAUAGGAUAAGUCUGUAGGUUGUUGCCAAUGUUUCACUCAUAGGUUUCACAGA
Columba livia (rock pigeon) is the source of this 646-nucleotide long non-coding RNA. RefSeq lists it as uncharacterized. NCBI's taxonomy places the organism in Eukaryota, Metazoa, Chordata, Aves, Columbiformes, Columbidae. The transcript is spliced from 3 exons. The record is from RefSeq and is a predicted model, not a curated record.